Regulatory RNA element from Orchesella cincta, 46 nucleotides. It matches the Rfam family "Histone 3' UTR stem-loop". From Rfam's summary of the family: The mRNAs of metazoan histone genes lack a poly-A tail. 3' end processing occurs at a site between a highly conserved stem-loop (modelled by this family) and a purine rich region around 20 nts downstream (the histone downstream element, or HDE). The record is from Rfam. NCBI's taxonomy places the organism in Eukaryota, Metazoa, Arthropoda, Collembola, Entomobryomorpha, Orchesellidae.
CCAACGGUCCUUUUAAGGACCACCAAACUUUUCAAAGAGCAAUUUA